GACGAACGCUGGCGGCGUGCUUAACACAUGCAAGUCGAACGUAAAGGCCCUGCUUUUGUGGGGUGCUCGAGUGGCGAACGGGUGAGUAACACGUGAGUAACCUGCCCUUGACUUUGGGAUAACUUCAGGAAACUGGGGCUAAUACCGGAUAGGAGCUCCUGCUGCAUGGUGGGGGUUGGAAAGUUUCGGCGGUUGGGGAUGGACUCGCGGCUUAUCAGCUUGUUGGUGGGGUAGUGGCUUACCAAGGCUUUGACGGGUAGCCGGCCUGAGAGGGUGACCGGCCACAUUGGGACUGAGAUACGGCCCAGACUCCUACGGGAGGCAGCAGUGGGGAAUAUUGCACAAUGGGCGGAAGCCUGAUGCAGCAACGCCGCGUGCGGGAUGACGGCCUUCGGGUUGUAAACCGCUUUCGCCUGUGACGAAGCGUGAGUGACGGUAAUGGGUAAAGAAGCACCGGCUAACUACGU
RNAcentral lists this ribosomal RNA (467 nucleotides) under uncultured bacterium. RNAcentral's name for it is "partial 16S ribosomal RNA". It matches the Rfam family "Bacterial small subunit ribosomal RNA", at positions 28 to 506 of the family's 1533-position model. The record is from RNAcentral.